RNAcentral lists this ribosomal RNA (433 nucleotides) under uncultured bacterium. RNAcentral's name for it is "partial 16S ribosomal RNA". It matches the Rfam family "Bacterial small subunit ribosomal RNA", at positions 29 to 507 of the family's 1533-position model. The record is from RNAcentral.
AACGAACGCUGGCGGCAUGCCUAACACAUGCAAGUCGAACGAUGCCUUCGGGCAUAGUGGCGCACGGGUGCGUAACGCGUGGGAAUCUGCCUUUCGGUUCGGAAUAACUCGGGGAAACUUGAGCUAAUACCGGAUAACGUCGCAAGACCAAAGAUUUAUCACCGAAAGAUGAGCCCGCGUAGGAUUAGCUAGUUGGUGAGGUAAAGGCUCACCAAGGCGACGAUCCUUAGCUGGUCUGAGAGGAUGAUCAGCCACACUGGGACUGAGACACGGCCCAGACUCCUACGGGAGGCAGCAGUGGGGAAUAUUGGACAAUGGGCGAAAGCCUGAUCCAGCAAUGCCGCGUGAGUGAUGAAGGCCUUAGGGUUGUAAAGCUCUUUUACCCGGGAAGAUAAUGACGGUACCGGGAGAAUAAGCCCCGGCUAACUCCGUG